AGCGAACGCUGGCGGUAGGCCUAACACAUGCAAGUCGAACGGCAGCACAGUAAGAGCUUGCUCUUACGGGUGGCGAGUGGCGGACGGGUGAGGAAUACAUCGGAAUCUACUUUUUCGUGGGGGAUAACGUAGGGAAACUUACGCUAAUACCGCAUACGACCUACGGGUGAAAGCAGGGGAUCUUUUGACCUUUCGCGAUUGAAUGAGCCGAUGUCGGAUUAGCUAGUUGGCGGGGUAAAGGCCCACCAAGGCGACGAUCCGUAGCCGGUCUGAGAGGAUGAUCAGCCACACUGGAACUGAGACACGGUCCAGACUCCUGCGGGAGGCAGCAGUGGGGAAUAUUGGACAAUGGACGCAAGCCUGAUCCAGCCAUACCGCGUGGGUGAAGAAGGCCUUCGGGUUGUAAAGCCCUUUUGUUGGGAAAGAAAAGCAGCAGGUUAAUACCCCGCUGUUCUGACGGUACCCAAAGAAUAAGCACCGGCUAACUUCGUG
RNAcentral lists this ribosomal RNA (492 nucleotides) under uncultured bacterium. Its description in RNAcentral is "partial 16S ribosomal RNA". It matches the Rfam family "Bacterial small subunit ribosomal RNA", at positions 29 to 507 of the family's 1533-position model. The record is from RNAcentral.